AGUGGAUGGGGAGCAACCUAGUUGUGCGUGUGUAAAGGUAGUGCCAAGAAAAGCGAUGAUCAUGUUGAAAAUCAAUUCCCGGUACCCGAAACCGACACAGGUGGGCAAGUAGAGAAUGCUAAGGGGCGCGAGGUAACUCUCUCCAAGGAACUCGGCAAAAUGACCCCGUAACUUAGGGAGAAGGGGUGCCACCGAGAGGUGGUCGCAGUGAAGAGGCCCAGGCGACUGUUUAGCAAAAACAUAGGUCUCUGCAAACUCGAAAGAGGAGGUAUAGGGGCUGACGCCUGCCCAGUGCCGGAAGGUUAAAGAAGUUGGUCAGUUUUAGGAUGAAGCUAGCGACUGAAGCCCCGGUGAACGGCGGCCGUAACUAUAACGGUCCUAAGGUAGCGAAAUUCCUUGUCGGGUAAGUUCCGACCCGCACGAAAGGCGUAACGAUCUGGGCGCUGUCUCGGAGAGAGGCUCGGCGAAAUAGGAUUGUCUGUGAAGAUACGGACUACCUGCAUUUGGACAGAAAGACCCUAUGAAGCUUUACUAUAGCUUGGAAUUGUGUUCGGGCUUCCUGUGCGCAGGAUAGGUGGGAGGCGUAGAAGGUAUUCUUGUGGGGAUACUGGAGCCAACGGUGAGAUACCACUCUCAGGAGGCUAGAAUUCUAACUUAAUUAAGGACAGUUUCAGGUGGGUAGUUUGACUGGGGCGGUCGCCUCCAAAAAGGUAACGGAGGCGUACAAAGGUUCCCUCAGACUGGUUGGAAAUCAGUCGAAGAGUGCAAAGGCAGAAGGGAGCUUGACUGCGAGAAGUACAGUUCGAGCAGGGUGGAAACACGGUCUUAGUGAUCCGACGGUGCUGUGUGGAAGGGCCGUCGCUCAACGGAUAAAAGUUACUCUAGGAUAACAGGCUGAUCUCCCCCAAGAGUUCACAUCGACGGGGAGGUUUGGCACCUCGAUGUCGGCUCAUCGCAACCUGGGGCGGAAGUACGUCCCAAGGGUUGGGCUGUUCGCCCAUUAAAGCGGUACGUGAGCUGGGUUCAGAACGUCGUGAGACAGUUCGGUCCAUAUCCGAUGUAGGCGUGAGAAUAUUGAGAGGAGCCUUCCUUAGUACGAGAGGACCGGGAAGGACGCACCGCUGGUGUACCUGUUAUGAUGCCAAUUGUAAACGCAGGGUAGCCAAGUGCGGAGAGGAUAACCGCUGAAAGCAUCUAAGUGGGAAGCCCACCUCAAGAUGAGUAUUCUGGUGUAAGGUCACGGGAAGACGACCCGUAAAUAGGCACGAGGUGGAAGUGCAGAGAUGUAUGAAGCCGAAGUGUACUAAUAGACCGUCGGCUUGACC
Molecule: ribosomal RNA, 1325 nt
Filed under: metagenome
Description: bacterial LSU rRNA
Rfam family: Bacterial large subunit ribosomal RNA
Source: RNAcentral